GUAUUUUUGCGAGUUAACGCUGUGACAUUCUAAUACUUUUGUGGGGUAUGUAAGGGUGCACGAGGCCUUCCGAUCUCUCUUCGGACCUCGCACUUGGUUCACAGUGGGGUGGAUAGUGAAGGGACGCCGCGACGGACGAGCACAUGCCCUCGCGGGCCAGCUCGAGACCGAACGCGUCGUUCCAGACUUCGCUAAUGAUCCUUCCGCAGGUUCACCUACGGAAA
RNAcentral lists this unclassified non-coding RNA (224 nucleotides) under uncultured fungus. RNAcentral's name for it is "sequence contains ITS1". The record is from RNAcentral. Lineage: Eukaryota; Fungi.